Long non-coding RNA from Homo sapiens (human), 685 nucleotides. Lineage: Eukaryota; Metazoa; Chordata; Mammalia; Primates; Hominidae. The record is from Ensembl.
AUGUUGUACUACUCUCUCCUGGAUGUCACUUGUCACCUCUACCAGCCCUCCUUUCUCCAGAUGGCUUCUUCAUAACCACCAGGUCAGAAGAGGAUCCGUUCCAAUGAUUUUCCUAAAACAAUGGAAGUGUUUUCCAAAGAGCUUAUAAGGCAUUGUAGGAUCUGGCCUGCCCUGACUCCACUUUACCAGAACCAUCUGCUGCUCUUCUCUCUUGUGUUACUCAAGGUAUUAGCUGCUGUGGCAAAUCAACUCUGAAAUCUCCGUGACUUAAUACAAGAGAGGUUUAUUUCUUACUCACGCUGGGUGCACUGCCACUUGGUAACAGAGGAGCUAUGGAAACUUGAGACCUAAGCAGAAAUGAGUUCAAUAAUAUUGCUACACUCUAGGACUUUCUCCAAAAUUAACAACAGAACAAAAGUGCAAGGCAGUGAUAACCCAUCUGACAGCAUUUGGGGAGUGUUUGUGAAAGCAAUGGUGAUGGAGGUUUUAAAAGAAUGUCAGAUCAUAUAAGCAAGAAUGUUGAUGAACAUAGCUUGGGACCAAGACGGCUUCAUUUUGAUCCCAAGGCCUGCUGACAAUGUGCUGAAAGGAAAGAGGAUCUUCAAUUUUUUUAAAAACAGGAAUGAUUUGGUGUGUUCGUUCUUAACAAUUGUUAAACAACAUAAAAUGUGAUUCUUAUACUUAA